CCUGAAAGUCCGUCGGGAAAUCCACUCGCUUAACGAGUGGGCGUCCGGCGGAAACCAGCUAGCUUGGGACCGAGCGACCUGAGGGGUACGUCCGGGGUAGGAGUGAAAUCCCGUAAUCCCGGACGGACCAUCGGUGGCGAAAGCGCCUCAGGAGAGCGGAUCCGACGGUGAGGGACGAAAGCUAGGGUCUCGAACCGGAUUAGAUACCCGGGUAGUCCUAGCCGUAAACGAUGCUCGCUAGGUGUGGCGCUGGCUACGAGCCAGCGCUGUGCCGUAGGGAAGCCGUGAAGCGAGCCGCCUGGGAAGUACGUCCGCAAGGAUGAAACUUAAAGGAAUUGGCGGGGGAGCACUACAACCGGAGGAGCCUGCGGUUUAAUUGGACUCAACGCCGGACAUCUCACCGGCACCGACUGUAGUAAUGACGGUCAGGUUGAUGACCUUGCCACGAGCUACAGAGAGGAGGUGCAUGGCCGCCGUCAGCUCGUACCGUGAGGCGUCCUGUUAAGUCAGGCAACGAGCGAGACCCGUGUCCCUAAUUGCCAGCAACACCGAGAGGUGGUUGGGUACAUUAAGGAGACUGCCGCUGCUAAAGCGGAGGAAGGAACGGGCAACGGUAGGUCAGUAUGCCCCGAAUGUGCCGGGCUACACGCGGGCUACAAUGGCCGGGACAGUGGGAUGCAACACCGAGAGGUGGAGCUAAUCUCCGAAACCCGGUCGUAGUUCGGAUUGCGGGUUGAAACUCACCCGCAUGAAGCUGGAUUCGGUAGUAAUCGCGUCUCAGAAGGAGCGGUGAAUACG
RNAcentral lists this ribosomal RNA (798 nucleotides) under uncultured euryarchaeote. RNAcentral's name for it is "bacterial SSU rRNA". It matches the Rfam family "Archaeal small subunit ribosomal RNA", at positions 529 to 1326 of the family's 1478-position model. Lineage: Archaea; Methanobacteriati; Methanobacteriota. The record is from RNAcentral.